AUGCUUUACACAUGCAAGUCGAACGGCAGCACGAGAGAGCUUGCUCUCUUGGUGGCGAGUGGCGGACGGGUGAGUAAUAUAUCGGAACGUGCCCAGUAGCGGGGGAUAACUACUCGAAAGAGUGGCUAAUACCGCAUACGCCCUACGGGGGAAAGGGGGGGAUUCUUCGGAACCUCUCACUAUUGGAGCGGCCGAUAUCGGAUUAGCUAGUUGGUGGGGUAAAGGCUCACCAAGGCAACGAUCCGUAGCUGGUUUGAGAGGACGACCAGCCACACUGGGACUGAGACACGGCCCAGACUCCUACGGGAGGCAGCAGUGGGGAAUUUUGGACAAUGGGGGAAACCCUGAUCCAGCCAUCCCGCGUGUAUGAUGAAGGCCUUCGGGUUGUAAAGUACUUUUGGCAGAGAAGAAAAGGUAUCCCCUAAUACGGGAUACUGCUGACGGUAUCUGCAGAAUAAGCACCGGCUAACUACGUGCCAGC
This 481-nucleotide ribosomal RNA is filed under the name Alcaligenes faecalis. RNAcentral describes it as "bacterial SSU rRNA". It matches the Rfam family "Bacterial small subunit ribosomal RNA", at positions 44 to 512 of the family's 1533-position model. Lineage: Bacteria; Pseudomonadati; Pseudomonadota; Betaproteobacteria; Burkholderiales; Alcaligenaceae. The record is from RNAcentral.